CCCUUAGAUGUCCUGAGCCGCACGCGUGCUACACUGACACCUGCAACGAGUUAUUCCAGCUCCGAAAGGCAGUUGGUAAUCAGAAAUAGGUGUCGUGAUGGGGAUAGACCCUUGGAAUUAUGGAUCUUGAACGAGGAAUGCCUAGUAAGCGCACGUCAUUAGCGUGCGCUGAUUAAGUCCCUGCCCUUUGUACACACCGCCCGUCGCUCCUACCGAUUUCGAGUGGUCCGGUGAGCCUUUUGGAGAGUGAGCGUCCUUGAGGCGCUUGCUCGAAGUCAGGCAAAUCUUACUACUUAGAGGAAGGAUAANUCGUAACA
RNAcentral lists this ribosomal RNA (317 nucleotides) under uncultured eukaryote. RNAcentral's name for it is "partial 18S ribosomal RNA". It matches the Rfam family "Eukaryotic small subunit ribosomal RNA", at positions 1470 to 1796 of the family's 1831-position model. The record is from RNAcentral.